RNAcentral lists this long non-coding RNA (2382 nucleotides) under Homo sapiens (human). RNAcentral describes it as "ITGB2 antisense RNA 1, transcript variant 2 (ITGB2-AS1)". The record is from RNAcentral. Lineage: Eukaryota; Metazoa; Chordata; Mammalia; Primates; Hominidae.
UGUCAGAGAGCGGCCCCUUGAGACAGGUGGGACAUGUCAUUUCUCACAUGAGGUCCCGGCGAGAAGGACCUGCUUCCAUCAGAUUCACACUUGGGAGAGGGGCCCGGCCUCCAGGAGCGCCAGGCAGAAAGGGCACCCAUUAGGAAGAAGAACACAGAGGCCAUGGGAGUGAAAAGUUUGAUGCUGGAAAGCAACAGUAGCACAUUCUGCUACAGAGCGGAAUGAAAAACCCUGGGGAGCAAAUUCCUGAGCCAGAGAAUGGAGCGGAGGAACCAGCCAAGGAGGAUAAAGAGGUGGGAACAGGCAAGAAAACCUGGACUUAGCCUAGAAAAUAAUGAAGAAGGACAGAAAGAGAAUACCAUUCUACUACACCCGCUGAUGACUUAAAACCUGCGUGCUCUGAGGCUGCCCGACCCUGAGCUCCAGAACAGACCAUCGAGUUCAGGAGACAAGCAUGUCAGCCAUGACACAAGGCAGAUGAGAGGGACCCCCAGCGUCCACACGUGGAGGCAGCGGGGGCAGCCGAUCCAUACAAACAGGCUGACCAUCAGGGCUGGUCCCAGGCCACCAGGCUGGGUGCAAUGCAGAAAUGGAGAUCUGCCCCGGGGAAGGCAGGUGAGUGUAGGAAGGAGGGAGGGCUGCGAGAAGCUGGGGGCAGCCUCCAUCCCCCUGUGGCCUGGGUGGGCCUGUGCCCCCCCAACCCCCCGACGCAGCUUCCCACACUGGGAGCACAGUUCCUCCCUCCUCUGCCUUCCUCUGCGUGGUGUGGCUCCUCCUUGAGGGAGAGAGCUGAGGAGGUGGCAUUCUUGCUUCCCUGACUCACCCAAAGGAAGAUUUCACAGCCCCUGGCAAGGGCUGCCAGACAGGCUCACCUGUCACCCCCUGUCCAGGGACAGACUGACCGGUAGCCUUGGCUGGGUGGGGAGUUAUGCUGGGAAGUCUUCCAGGCCCCCUGGGGGUGGGAAGAUGCUCAAUGUUCAAAGGAGAUGGAACGAGGAAAACAGUUAAGCAACGAUGGACUCCAGGGGGAAAACCGGAGAAGAAGAAACUGUAAUUCCAGUCCGUCCACAUGGCCCAGCAGUGAACGACAAUUGCAUGGUCAGAGAGAGCAAAAGCACCACGCCGACUGAAAGCAGCUCGAAUGUGGUGGGGCAGUGGGAGAUAAUGCCCUCAUCUACCAAAACAAGAUCUGCCACCUUCGCAGACCACUAAACCUCAUUCCUCCACCCACCUCCCCACCCCCAUGAAGGCCAACUGACCAGAGAGCAGGGCUCCCGAGGGUCGGGUCGGGUCGGGUCGGGUUGGGUCGGGUGGGUGCCUCUUACCCUAACUGAGGCUCUGCCCUGGACUCGGAGUCCACUUGCUGUCAAAGCAUGCCACUCUUCUUUCUGAUACUUGACAUAUUUCUUUUCCCGUUCAAUUCAUGGUUUCUGCCCAAACGGAGCCACGUGAGGACUUCUUUGGGGAUGUGUCUCCAAGAAAAGUGUGGGCUGCCUUCCUCACCCUGGAUGCCUGUGGGCAGCCUUCCUCACCCUGGAUGCCUGUGGGCAGCCUUCCUCACCCUGGAUGCCUGUGGGCUGCCUUCCUCACCCUGGAUGCCUGUGGGCAGCCUUCCUCACCCUGGAUGCCUGUGGGCUGCCUUCCUCACCCUGGAUGCCUGUGGGCAGCCUUCCUCACCCUGGAUGCCUGUGGGCAGCCUUCCUCACCCUGGAUGCCUGUGACUUGGUUUCCAUGGGGGCUUCCUAAGCUCAGGGACCCCAAGCCUCCAUCAAAUCUAAUGACCCGCCUUGUCUCUGAACACACCUGUGUUGUCCCCGAGCCCCUCACCAACCCCCUCUGCAACCCGGCCCACGCAUUUCCCAUCCUGAAGGGUCCAGCUCAUAGGCCGGCCCAUGUGUUCCCUUUACCCCUGCUUUGUCCCUACCUGGUGGGGAGCUGUCCCUUCUGGGCCCUAGUGUGGCACUUCACACACAAAUGUGUCCUGUGGGUGGUAUCUGGGCCUCCCCCUGCAGUGAGGGGAUGACCAAUGUGCAGAGCUCACUGGGCCUGGAUAUGGGCUCGGGUGGCACAGAACAGAGAGAAAGUGCUCCGUAAAAGUGAGCUGCGAUGCGGAGGUGGGCAAGCUCUUCCCUGGAGGGGGAAGAGCUCUCAACCCAGAGGGAUCUGACCAGGAAGGUUCACCCCCCCUCCACCCAGGAAGCCCCUGCAGACAGUAUGUGUUUUAGGCUUUGCUGGCCAAAUGGUCUCUGCCGCGACUACUCAGCUCUGCCAUUGUGGCUGCAGAGUGACCAUAGACCUUCUGAAAGUGAAUGAGUAUGACUGUGUUCCAAUAAAACUUUAUUGACAAAAACAAAAAAAAAAAAAAAAAAAAAAAAAAAAAAA